RNAcentral lists this ribosomal RNA (367 nucleotides) under uncultured bacterium. RNAcentral's name for it is "bacterial SSU rRNA". It matches the Rfam family "Bacterial small subunit ribosomal RNA", at positions 527 to 896 of the family's 1533-position model. The record is from RNAcentral.
GUAGGGUGCAAGCGUUGUCCGGAAUUACUGGGUGUAAAGGGUCCGCAGGCGGGCAGACAAGUCGGUGGUGAAAGCUCUUCGCUCAACGGAGAGACUGCCAUCGAUACUGUUUGUCUUGAGUUCGAGAGAGGAUAAUGGAAUUCAUGGUGUAGCGGUGAAAUGCGUAGAGAUCAUGAAGAACACCGGUAGCGAAGGCGGUUAUCUGGCUCGAUACUGACGCUCAGGGACGAAAGCGUGGGUAGCAAACAGGAUUAGAUACCCUGGUAGUCCACGCCUUAAACGAUGGAUAUUCGGUGUCAGUCCGCAAGGAUUGGUGCCUGAGCCAACGCGUUAAAUAUCCCACCUGGGGAGUACGAUCGCAAGGGUG